UUAGAGAAAAUUGCAACUUUUGGCCCAAAGGUUUGAAUAAUUAAAUUCAAACCUAUAGUUUUUUUUAAUAUAAUUUUGGGACUCACAAUCCCAUUUUUAUAUUAUUUUUCUCUCUUCCUCUCAUGUUGCUCGACGUUUUCUCACAAGGGGGGAUUAUUUUCUUUUCCUUCAGAUUAUAUUGACAAAGAUAGUGGUGAAAAAGGAGUUGUGAAGGGGAACUUGUUAUUCAAGACACAAGGAGCGAGUCUGGCCGAGAAAGCACCAGAGGUGUAACUGUGGUGUAUGAGACACCAUCUUUUACGUUGCCUCUUAUUUUAGAUUAUACAAUGUAUCUUGUGCCAACUUAGGACAUAUCUUCUUUGUGAAGCAUGUAAACUCUAAUCCUUUUUAUUAAAAGUAUUUAUAUGACCAAGAGGAUUAUGUCUGUCCCUCUUGAUUCAUGACCUGAUUUGAAUAACAUGCUAUGAGGAUCCUGUCUGUCCCUCAUGGUUCUAAUUGCUUUUUGAGAUAUUUUAAGACCUGUGGUAUAUUGUCUUGGAUGUAUCAUGGUAAGAAAAUUUUCUACCAUGAUAAUGGUUUUAAUAAUUUGCGAAAAAUCGGUCUGUAAUUUUGAGGGUGUUACACUUUGCAACUCCUAGGCAUGUUUGUGUUAUUCUUGGUUUUUAAAGCUGUUAGUAGAUGGGUGUCACUCAAUUGGCGUGGGCUAUGUUACUGCAUGUGAUAGUUUGUGUUAGGGAUGUUGCCAUGCUCAAUCUUGUCGCUGGAUUGGUUCUUAUUUGUUUAUAAACCACUUAUUGGUUUCUUGUAGCUUACAUUUACUGCAAAUGUUUAGAGUUUCUAGCUUUUUGAUUGAGUCCUUGGUUUUGACUGUGUUAGUCCUUGUUUCUCGUGAACCCCUUUAUUUGUUUCACAUGUUGGGUGUUGUUUCAUACUUUUAAUCGAUUUGUUGUUUCAUUGUGUUACUAAUAUAUUAUGAUUACAGGGAAGCUCCUGAUUAAUACGAUGGACCAACGAUGCUCACUUUGCGACGAGUCUCAAGAGAGCAUAAAUUAUGUUUUUAAAGAUUGUACGCUCGCUGCUGUAGUAUGGAGAAGAAUCUUACCAAUUGAUAUGCAAAUUGAUUUUUAUGGCAAAAGUCUGGAUACCUGGCUGGCUGAUAUUUUAAAGAACCCUCACAUAGAUUAUUCUUGGAAGAUUGGUGUUAGCAUCUUUUGCCGGAAAUUAUGGGAUGCUAGAAACUGAAGCAUAUUUACUAAUGACACAUUUACAAUAGAUAGCAUUUUAUCUCAACUUAGAGCCAUAGUUGAUCACACUGUUAGGAUUUACAACACCUUAAGAAUUCUGAUGUAAUUGUUUUAUGUUCGUUUUUGUAUUCUGUAUAGUUUUCCUAAUGAAAAAUAUAUUAUGAUUACUUGA
Molecule: RNA transcript, 1416 nt
Organism: Prosopis cineraria
Lineage: Eukaryota; Viridiplantae; Streptophyta; Magnoliopsida; Fabales; Fabaceae
Exons: 3
Source: RefSeq, a predicted model, not a curated record